This 356-nucleotide ribosomal RNA is filed under the name uncultured soil bacterium. RNAcentral describes it as "bacterial SSU rRNA". It matches the Rfam family "Bacterial small subunit ribosomal RNA", at positions 26 to 377 of the family's 1533-position model. The record is from RNAcentral.
AGAGUGAACGCUGGCGGCAGGCCUAACACAUGCAAGUCGAGCGGCAGCACAGUCGUAGCAAUACGAUGGGUGGCGAGCGGCGGACGGGUGAGGAGUGCAUCGGAAUCUACCUUGUUGUGGGGGAUAACGUAGGGAAACUUACGCUAAUACCGCACGAGACCGUAAGGUGAAAGCGGGGGACCUGUGAGGGCCUCGCGCGACAAGAUGAGCCGAUGCCGGAUUAGCUAGUUGGUGGGGUAAAGGCCCACCAAGGCGACGAUCCGUAGCUGGUCUGAGAGGAUGAUCAGCCACACUGGAACUGAGACACGGUCCAGACUCCUACGGGAGCAGCAGUGGGGAAUAUUGGACAAGUGGGG